This 497-nucleotide ribosomal RNA is filed under the name uncultured bacterium. Its description in RNAcentral is "partial 16S ribosomal RNA". It matches the Rfam family "Bacterial small subunit ribosomal RNA", at positions 28 to 507 of the family's 1533-position model. The record is from RNAcentral.
GAUGAACGCUGGCGGCGUGCCUAAUACAUGCAAGUCGAGCGAACGGACGAGAAGCUUGCUUUUCUGAUGUUAGCGGCGGACGGGUGAGUAACACGUGGAUAACCUACCUAUAAGACUGGGAUAACUUCGGGAAACCGGAGCUAAUACCGGAUAAUAUUUUGAACCGCAUGGUUCAAAAGUGAAAGACGGUCUUGCUGUCACUUAUAGAUGGAUCCGCGCUGCAUUAGCUAGUUGGUAAGGUAACGGCUUACCAAGGCAACGAUGCAUAGCCGACCUGAGGGGGUGAUCGGCCACACUGGAACUGAGACACGGUCCAGACUCCUACGGGAGGCAGCAGUAGGGAAUCUUCCGCAAUGGGCGAAAGCCUGACGGAGCAACGCCGCGUGAGUGAUGAAGGUCUUCGGAUCGUAAAACUCUGUUAUUAGGGAAGAACAUAUGUGUAAGUAACUGUGCACAUCUUGACGGUGCCUAAUCAGAAAGCCACGGCUAACUACGUG